This 412-nucleotide non-coding RNA is filed under the name Tropilaelaps mercedesae. Its description in RNAcentral is "Eukaryotic large subunit ribosomal RNA". It matches the Rfam family "Eukaryotic large subunit ribosomal RNA", at positions 1910 to 2286 of the family's 3401-position model. Lineage: Eukaryota; Metazoa; Arthropoda; Arachnida; Mesostigmata; Laelapidae. The record is from Rfam by way of RNAcentral.
GAAGUCGGUAAAAUAACUCUGUAACUUUAAGAAAAGGAAUGGCUCUGAAGGUUGAUCCCGUCAAAUAAAAAGUAAAAGUAUCUAUGACAUUUUGUAGUUGCCGGGUGGACUUAGCAUUUGCCCGAAUGAUAACUGAAGCUGUGUUUAUGAAUGUUAGCUGUUUCAGUUUAUUCUGCUGUAAUUGUGGUGUCAACUACUUUAGAACCGACCCAAACUGAUGGAAUUCACCUGUCUAACUAAAACAAAGCGUUGUAAUGUCCACUAAUUGGUUAUGACACAAUCUGAUUCUCCCCAAAGCUCUAAAUGUUAAAGCGAAUGUUUUUUUGAAGCGCGAGUAAGCGGCGGGUGUAUUUAUGAUUCCCAUAGUACUUGCACUGCAUAAUACAGUGCUGAUUGCAGAAAUUAUUGCUAC